This 499-nucleotide ribosomal RNA is filed under the name uncultured Glomeromycotina. Its description in RNAcentral is "partial small subunit ribosomal RNA". It matches the Rfam family "Eukaryotic small subunit ribosomal RNA", at positions 591 to 1092 of the family's 1831-position model. The record is from RNAcentral. Lineage: Eukaryota; Fungi; Glomeromycota.
CCAAUAGCGUAUAUUAAAGUUGUUGCAGUUAAAAAGCUCGUAGUUGAAUUUCGGGAUCAGUACGCUGGUCGUGCCUUGGUAUGUACUGGUGUUACUGGUUCCUACCUUCUGACGAACCGUCAUGUCAUUAAUUUGGUGUGGCGGGAAAUCAGGACUGUUACUUUGAAAAAAUUAGAGUGUUUAAAGCAGGCUCGCGCUCGAAUACAUUAGCAUGGAAUAAUGAAAUAGGACGUUCGAUCCUAUUUUGUUGGUUUCUAGGAUUGACGUAAUGAUUAAUAGGGAUAGUUGGGGGCAUUAGUAUUCAAUUGUCAGAGGUGAAAUUCUUGGAUUUAUUGAAGACUAACUACUGCGAAAGCAUUUGCCAAGGAUGUUUUCAUUAAUCAAGAACGAAAGUUAGGGGAUCGAAGACGAUCAGAUACCGUCGUAGUCUUAACCAUAAACUAUGCCGACUAGGGAUCGGAUGAUGUUAAUUUUUUAAUGACUCAUUCGGCGCCUUACG